RNAcentral lists this ribosomal RNA (499 nucleotides) under uncultured bacterium. Its description in RNAcentral is "partial 16S ribosomal RNA". It matches the Rfam family "Bacterial small subunit ribosomal RNA", at positions 30 to 523 of the family's 1533-position model. The record is from RNAcentral.
AUUGAACGCUGGCGGCAGGCCUAACACAUGCAAGUCGAGCGGAUGACGGGAGCUUGCUCCUUGAUUCAGCGGCGGACGGGUGAGUAUGCCUAGGAAUCUGCCUGGUAGUGGGGGACAACGUUUCGAAAGGAACGCUAAUACCGCAUACGUCCUACGGGAGAAAGCAGGGGACCUUCGGGCCUUGCGCUAUCAGAUGAGCCUAGGUCGGAUUAGCUAGUUGGUGGGGUAAUGGCUCACCAAGGCGACGAUCCGUAACUGGUCUGAGAGGAUGAUCAGGCACACUGGGACUGAGACACGGUCCAGACUCCUACGGGAGGCAGCAGUGGGGAAUAUUGGACAAUGGGCGAAAGCCUGAUCCAGCCAUGCCGCGUGUGUGAAGAAGGUCUUCGGAUUGUAAAGCACUUUAAGUUGGGAGGAAGGGCAGUAAGCUAAUACCUUGCUGUUUUGACGUUACCGACAGAAUAAGCACCGGCUAACUCUGUGCCAGCCGCCGCCGUAA